UACGUAGGUGGCAAGCGUUGUCCGGAUUUACUGGGCGUAAAGGGAGCGUAGGUGGAUAUUUAAGUGGGAUGUGAAAUACUCGGGCUUAACCUGGGUGCUGCAUUCCAAACUGGAUAUCUAGAGUGCAGGAGAGGAAAGUAGAAUUCCUAGUGUAGCGGUGAAAUGCGUAGAGAUUAGGAAGAAUACCAGUGGCGAAGGCGACUUUCUGGACUGUAACUGACACUGAGGCU
Molecule: ribosomal RNA, 230 nt
Filed under: uncultured microorganism
Description: partial 16S ribosomal RNA
Rfam family: Bacterial small subunit ribosomal RNA
Source: RNAcentral